RNAcentral lists this signal recognition particle RNA (92 nucleotides) under Planctomycetaceae bacterium. Its description in RNAcentral is "signal recognition particle sRNA small type". It matches the Rfam family "Bacterial small signal recognition particle RNA". Rfam says of the family: The signal recognition particle (SRP) is a universally conserved ribonucleoprotein involved in the co-translational targeting of proteins to membranes. Lineage: Bacteria; Pseudomonadati; Planctomycetota; Planctomycetia; Planctomycetales; Planctomycetaceae. RNAcentral also lists the same sequence under 1 other name. The record is from RNAcentral.
UUCGCGCCCGCACGGUGAAACGCCGUGAACCUGGUCAGGGCAGAAAUGCAGCAGCCAUAAGCGGAAGCUUCAGGUGUUGCGGGCGCACUUUU